This 279-nucleotide long non-coding RNA is filed under the name Helianthus annuus (common sunflower). RNAcentral describes it as "sRNA HanXRQr2_Chr12g0550931". Lineage: Eukaryota; Viridiplantae; Streptophyta; Magnoliopsida; Asterales; Asteraceae. The record is from RNAcentral.
GCCGGUGCCUCCGGCAACGGUGUGGUUCCGGUAUGGCUGGAGAAGACGGGUGAGGCCGUGGUGGUCGGAAGCAGCGACAGGGAAGUGGUGAUGGAGAUGGAGGCGGAUGUGGGCGACGGAGUGAGUGGCGUUGGCGUUGAAGACGAUGAUGGAGGGCGGUGGUGGGAAGGUGUCGAUCUGGUGAAGAAGAAGUGAAGAAUGUGAUUUAGGGUUUAGAAGAUGAUAAAGCUGACGCCGUUACCGUCAGUUCACUGUUGUUCGGUUAUGUUUAAUUUGUGA